RNAcentral lists this long non-coding RNA (1173 nucleotides) under Chloebia gouldiae (Gouldian finch). Its description in RNAcentral is "Erythrura gouldiae (Gouldian finch) lncRNA (ENSEGOG00005007906.1)". Lineage: Eukaryota; Metazoa; Chordata; Aves; Passeriformes; Passeridae. The record is from RNAcentral.
CACAGAUGGCAUUCUUAAAUGUAAAAUUCUUUUUAUGAUUCUUUCUAUUUCAUAUUUAUUUCAUUAGAUCAUUAUUUAUGUUAAAGAGUCACUAUUAAUCUGAGACGUGCUCAGCUUGAAAGAAAAUGUUGAGAGGAGUUUCAGGGCUGCCUUUCUGGGAAAACUAGAGCUGGAUGUAAAACUCUGACUAUAUGAAGGAAGCAAGAUGAAGAGAAACAGUGAAAAAGGGAGAGAGGAAGGCUUCCCAAAGAUAAGCUGCUACAUAGAUGACUUUUUCAACCCACAAGGCUGAAACAACUUCCCUUUACUGAAAUGACCCCAGCACAGCUAUUCACUAGAAGAUAUCCUCCAUGAUUUCUUAGGGGUCCAUAAGAUGACUGAAGUGGUAGAACAGCAAAGACUUGGAACAGACACUGAGGUCCUAUUGCUCCUGUUGGAAACUUCUGUUAACUGCAUCAUGAGUUGGAUGGGACCCAGAGAAACCAAAUACAGACAAGUAAUGAUGAGUUGGCCAUACAAGCAAGGAAAAUCACAGAUAACAGGAAUGUUUCAGCUACCUGCAGCCUCAUCCGAUGAUGCUUAAUGAACUCAGCUAGCUCGAUCUUCUGUGCACCAGCAGGGACUUCUUUAAAUUGGUAAACUGUAUAGAACAUUGUUUUCAAGUUUAAUGUUCUUGGAAUUAACCUUAUAAAAUAAUGGCGUAUCUAAAGAUAGGUUAUAUACAUAGCACAGACAUGUAUGUAUGCAUUUAUAUGUACAUGUGUUUGUAUAUAUACAUAAGUGCACUCAUACGUAUAGAAAUGCUGAUGUUAUUCACCUUUUCGAAAUCUUUACAGCUAGUCCUAACAUGAAUGUGCUGUUAAAUUUGGCAGUGUUAUACAUUUUUUUGGAGUUUACUUCUGUAAGAUAAAAUCAUAAAGAUAAGCUGUGAAACUCGUGCAGCUGAUGACAUCAUUCUAGAAUCUUGUGAUGCUGAAUCUCAUACUUCUAUGAAUGUAGGAUGGAUGUUCCUUAUAUUAUACUGCAUAUUGCAAUAUAUAUUUCCAUGUUUUUAUGUGGGCACUGAGAUGUCCAAACUAUUAAACAUAUAUGUACAAUGAGUCCUGUGUUCCUUAUUUAUUCUAAAGAAGGCAAUUAAUUUCUAUGAUUUUGUUGUAUAAUAAAGCAAAUUAC